GACGAACGCUGGCGGCGUGCUUAACACAUGCAAGUCGAACGGAAAGGCCCUGCUUUUGUGGGGUGCUCGAGUGGCGAACGGGUGAGUAACACGUGAGUAACCUGCCCUUGACUUUGGGAUAACUUCAGGAAACUGGGGCUAAUACCGGAUAGGAGCUCCUGCUGCAUGGUGGGGGUUGGAAAGUUUCGGCGGUUGGGGAUGGACUCGCGGCUUAUCAGCUUGUUGGUGGGGUAGUGGCUUACCAAGGCUUUGACGGGUAGCCGGCCUGAGAGGGUGACCGGCCACAUUGGGAAUGAGAUACGGCCCAGACGACUACGGGAGGCAGCAGUGGGGAAUAUUGCACAAUGGGCGGAAGCCUGAUGCAGCAACGCCGCGUGCGGGAUGACGGCCUUCGGGUUGUAAACCGAUUUCGACUGUGACGAAGCGUGAGUGACGGUAAUGGGUAAAGAAGCACCGGCUAACUACGUG
This 468-nucleotide ribosomal RNA is filed under the name uncultured bacterium. RNAcentral describes it as "partial 16S ribosomal RNA". It matches the Rfam family "Bacterial small subunit ribosomal RNA", at positions 28 to 507 of the family's 1533-position model. The record is from RNAcentral.